RNAcentral lists this transfer RNA (73 nucleotides) under Felis catus (domestic cat). It matches the Rfam family "tRNA". From Rfam's summary of the family: Transfer RNA (tRNA) molecules are approximately 80 nucleotides in length. Lineage: Eukaryota; Metazoa; Chordata; Mammalia; Carnivora; Felidae. The record is from Rfam by way of RNAcentral. RNAcentral also lists the same sequence under 5 other names.
ACCUGGCUGGCUCAGUUGGUAAAGCAUGCAACUCUUGAUCUCAGGGUCAUGAGUUCAAGCCCCAUGUUGGGUG